This 432-nucleotide ribosomal RNA is filed under the name uncultured bacterium. RNAcentral's name for it is "partial 16S ribosomal RNA". It matches the Rfam family "Bacterial small subunit ribosomal RNA", at positions 29 to 507 of the family's 1533-position model. The record is from RNAcentral.
AACGAACGCUGGCGGCAUGCCUAACACAUGCAAGUCGAACGAAGGCUUCGGCCUUAGUGGCGCACGGGUGCGUAACGCGUGGGAAUCUGCCCUUUGCUUCGGAAUACAGUUAGAAAUGACUGCUAAUACCGGAUGAUGUCGCAAGACCAAAGAUUUAUCGGCAAAGGAUGAGCCCGCGUAGGAUUAGCUAGUUGGUGGGGUAAAGGCCUACCAAGGCGACGAUCCUUAGCUGGUCUGAGAGGAUGAUCAGCCACACUGGGACUGAGACACGGCCCAGACUCCUACGGGAGGCAGCAGUGGGGAAUAUUGGACAAUGGGCGAAAGCCUGAUCCAGCAAUGCCGCGUGAGUAAUGAAGGCCUUAGGGUUGUAAAGCUCUUUUACCCGGGAUGAUAAUGACAGUACCGGGAGAAUAAGCUCCGGCUAACUCCGUG